Molecule: long non-coding RNA, 1000 nt
Filed under: Salmo salar (Atlantic salmon)
Lineage: Eukaryota; Metazoa; Chordata; Actinopteri; Salmoniformes; Salmonidae
Description: lncRNA (ENSSSAG00000102948.1)
Source: RNAcentral
GGUUGAGAUAUUGGAAUGGUUGAGAUAUUGGAAUGGUUGAGAUAUUGGAAUGGUUGAGGUAUUAGAAUGGUUGAGAUAUUGGAAUGGUUGAGGUAUUAGAAUGGUUGAGAUAUUGGAAUGGUUGAGGUAUUAGAAUGGUUGAGGUAUUGGAAUGGUUGAGGUAUUAGAAUGGUUGAGGUAAUGGAAUGGUUGAGGUAUUGGAAUGGUUGAGGUAUUGGAAUGGUUGAGGUAUUAGAAUGGUUGAGGUAAUGGAAUGGUGGAGGUAAUGGAAUGGUUGAGGUAUUGGAAUGGUUGAGGUAUUAGAAUGGUUGAGGUAUUAGAAUGGUUGAGGUAUUAGAAUGGUUGAGAUAAAGGAAUGGUUGAGAUAUUGGAAUGGUUGAGGUAUUAGAAUGGUUGAGGUAUUAGAAUGGUUGAGGUAUUAGAAUGGUUGAGGUAUUGGAUAUUAGAAUGGUUGAGGUAUUAGAAUGGUUGAGGUAUUAGAAUGGUUGAGGUAUUGGAUAUUGGAAUGGUUGAGAUAUUAGAAUGGUUGAGAUAAUGGAAUGGUUGAGAUAUUGGAAUGGUUGAGGUAUUAGAAUGGUUGAGAUAAAGGAAUGGUUGAGGUAUUAGAAUGGUUGAGAUAAAGGAAUGGUUGAGAUAAUGGAAUGGUGGAGGUAAUGGAAUGGUUGAGGUAUUAGAAUGGUUGAGGUAUUGGAAUGGUUGAGGUAAUGGAAUGGUUGAGGUAUUAGAAUGGUUGAGGUAUUGGAAUGGUGGAGGUAAUGGAAUGGUUGAGGUAUUGGAAUGGUUGAGGUAUUAGAAUGGUUGAGGUAUUAGAAUGGUUGAGGUAUUAGAAUGGUUGAGAUAAAGGAAUGGUUGAGAUAAUGGAAUGGUUGAGAUAUUGGAAUGGUUGAGGUAUUAGAAUGGUUGAGAUAAAGGAAUGGUUGAGAUAAUGGAAUGGUUGAGAUAUUGGAAUGGUUGAGGUAUUAGAAUGGUUGAGAUAAAGGAAUGGUUGAGAUAAUGGAAU